AACGCUAGCUACAGGCUUAACACAUGCAAGUCGAGGGGCAGCAUAUUUUUAGCUUGCUAAGAAUGAUGGCGACCGGCGCACGGGUGAGUAACGCGUAUCCAACCUUCCCAUGGCUCAGGGAUAACCUUGCGAAAGUAAGCCUAAUACCUGAUAUCCUCUUUAGCAGGCAUCUAAAGAAGAGGAAAGAUUUAUCGGCGAUGGAUGGGGAUGCGUCCGAUUAGCUUGCCGGUGGGGUAAAGGCCCACCGGGGCGACGAUCGGUAGGGGUUCUGAGAGGAAGGUCCCCCACAUUGGAACUGAGACACGGUCCAAACUCCUACGGGAGGCAGCAGUGAGGAAUAUUGGUCAAUGGGCGAGAGCCUGAACCAGCCAAGUAGCGUGCAGGACGACGGCCCUAUGGGUUGUAAACUGCUUUUAUACGGGAAUAAAGUCAGUAACGAGUUACUGAUUGCAUGUACCUUAUGAAUAAGGAUCGGCUAACUCCGUGCCAGCAGCCGCGGUAAUACGGAGGAUCCGAGCGUUAUCCGGAUUUAUUGGGUUUAAAGGGUGCGUAGGCGGGAGCGGAAGUCAGCUGUGAAAUUUUAUGGCUCAACCAUAAACUUGCAGUUGAAACUCCGUUUCUUGAGUACACAUGAGGUGGGCGGAAUUUGUGGUGUAGCGGUGAAAUGCUUAGAUAUCACGAAGAACUCCGAUUG
RNAcentral lists this ribosomal RNA (694 nucleotides) under uncultured bacterium. Its description in RNAcentral is "bacterial SSU rRNA". It matches the Rfam family "Bacterial small subunit ribosomal RNA", at positions 32 to 715 of the family's 1533-position model. The record is from RNAcentral.